RNAcentral lists this ribosomal RNA (494 nucleotides) under uncultured bacterium. RNAcentral's name for it is "partial 16S ribosomal RNA". It matches the Rfam family "Bacterial small subunit ribosomal RNA", at positions 28 to 507 of the family's 1533-position model. The record is from RNAcentral.
GACGAACGCUGGCGGCGUGCUUAACACAUGCAAGUCGAACGGUGAAGCGCCUUCCUUUUUGGUGGGUGUGGAUGAGUGGCGAACGGGUGAGUAACACGUGAGUAACCUGCCCCCUUCUUCUGGAUAACCGCAUGAAAGUGUGGCUAAUACGGGAUAUUCUGUGUCUGUCGCAUGAUGGGUCUGGGAAAGAUAUUGUUUCGGUGGGGGAUGGGCUCGCGGCCUAUCAGCUUGUUGGGGGGGUGAUGGCCUACCAAGGCGGUGACGGGUAGCCGGCCUGAGAGGGUGGACGGUCACACUGGGACUGAGACACGGCCCAGACUCCUACGGGAGGCAGCAGUGGGGAAUAUUGCACAAUGGGCGCAAGCCUGAUGCAGCGACGCCGCGUGAGGGAUGGAGGCCUUCGGGUUGUGAACCUCUUUCGCCAGUGAAGCAGGCCUGCCUCGUUUGUGGGUGGGUUGACGGUAGCUGGAUAAGAAGCGCCGGCUAACUACGUG